UGGGGAAUAUUGGGCAAUGGAGGAAACUCUGACCCAGCGACGCCGCGUGCGGGAUGAAGGCCUUCGGGUUGUAAACCGCUUUCAGUAGGGAAGAAGCGAAAGUGACGGUACCUACAAAAGAAGCACCGGCUAACUAUGUGCCAGCAGCCGCGGUAAUACAUAGGGUGCAAGCGUUGUCCGGAAUUAUUGGGCGUAAAGAGCUCGUAGGUCGUUUGUUACGUCGGAUGUGAAAACCUGAGGCUCAACCUC
RNAcentral lists this ribosomal RNA (249 nucleotides) under uncultured bacterium. RNAcentral describes it as "partial 16S ribosomal RNA". It matches the Rfam family "Bacterial small subunit ribosomal RNA", at positions 355 to 616 of the family's 1533-position model. The record is from RNAcentral.